This 193-nucleotide ribosomal RNA is filed under the name uncultured eukaryote. RNAcentral describes it as "partial 18S ribosomal RNA". It matches the Rfam family "Eukaryotic small subunit ribosomal RNA", at positions 1 to 190 of the family's 1831-position model. The record is from RNAcentral.
CAACCUGGUUGAUCCUGCCAGUUAGUCAUAUGCUUGUCUUAAAGAUUAAGCCAUGCAUGUCUAAGUAUAAACUAAUUUAUACGGUAAAACUGCGAAUGGCUCAUUAAAUCAGUUAUAGUUUAUUUGAUAGUAUCACACUACAUGGAUAACCGUAGUAAUUCUAGAGCUAAUACAUGCGUAAAGUCCCGACUUC